CGCUAGAAAGCUAAUUACUGGACAAAGCAUUGACCUUUUAAGUCAAAGAUUGGUGACUACCGACCACCUCUAGUGA
Molecule: transfer RNA, 76 nt
Filed under: Pethia ticto (Ticto barb)
Lineage: Eukaryota; Metazoa; Chordata; Actinopteri; Cypriniformes; Cyprinidae
Also listed under: 1 other name
Description: tRNA-Lys
Source: RNAcentral